Molecule: ribosomal RNA, 503 nt
Filed under: uncultured bacterium
Lineage: Bacteria
Description: partial 16S ribosomal RNA
Rfam family: Bacterial small subunit ribosomal RNA
Source: RNAcentral
AUUGAACGCUGGCGGCAGGCUUAACACAUGCAAGUCGAGCGGGGUGAUGGUGCUUGCACUAUCACUUAGCGGCGGACGGGUGAGUAAUGCUUAGGAAUCUGCCUAUUAGUGGGGGACAACAUCUCGAAAGGGAUGCUAAUACCGCAUACGUCCUACGGGAGAAAGCAGGGGAUCACUUGUGACCUUGCGCUAAUACAUGAGCCUAAGUGGGAUUAGCUAGUUGGUGGGGUAAAGGUCUGCCAAGGCGACGAUCUGUAGCGGGUCUGAGAGGAUGAUCCGCCACACUGGGACUGAGACACGGCCCAGACUCCUACGGGAGGCAGCAGUGGGGAGUAUUGGACAAUGGGGGGAACCCUGAUCCAGCCAUGCCGCGUGUGUGAAGAAGGCCUUAUGGUUGUAAAGCACUUUAAGCGAGGAGGAGGCUCUUUUGGUUAAUACCCAAGAUGAGUGGACGUUACUCGCAGAAUAAGCACCGGCUAACUCUGUGCCAGCAGCCGCCGUAA